RNAcentral lists this ribosomal RNA (253 nucleotides) under uncultured bacterium. RNAcentral describes it as "partial 16S ribosomal RNA". It matches the Rfam family "Bacterial small subunit ribosomal RNA", at positions 524 to 776 of the family's 1533-position model. The record is from RNAcentral.
UACAGAGGUCCCAAGCGUUGUUCGGAUUCACUGGGCGUAAAGGGUGCGUAGGUGGCCAGGUAAGUUUGAUGUGAAAGCUCGGAGCUUAACUCCGAAAUGGCAUUGAAUACUAUCUGGCUUGAGGGUCGGAGGGGAGACUGGAAUUCUCGGUGUAGCAGUGAAAUGCGUAGAUAUCGAGAGGAACACCAGUGGCGAAGGCGAGUCUCUGGACGACACCUGACACUGAGGCACGAAAGCUAGGGGAGCAAACAGG